AUUUAUAUUACUCAUAACCUACUAGUAUUCUAUAAAGCAGUUAGUGGCCGGCCGCCGAUGCCUGAUAGAAUGGCAAACCUAACACUAGCGGAUCUCUCACCAUCGUCGGCGUUGAGAAGAUGGCGGUGGUAGUAGGCGACUCACGGAGCUAUCCUUCCUACUGGAACGAGUCUGAUACUACUUUUCCUCUCCUUUGGUCUAAUGCAGAUUGUCAUCUAGAUUGUGUAAAUAUUCUAAAAAGAAUAUCAAUUUUCAAAACUUGGGGCAUUCCGAGAAUCGAACUCGGGACCUCUCGCACCCAAAGCGAGAAUCAUACCACUAGACCAAAUGCCCAGAUGCUAAAUUCAGACAAUAAUGUUAAGAAGAUUAGACUUUCGUCAUUUAAAAGUUAUAUGUGGUCUUUGGAGCUUAACAUUGCCAAUACAUUUGAGGCAGGUCUAGUACAGAUUGUCAUCAAGAUGGUGUAAAUAUUCUAAAUCACAACAUGAACUUCAGAUCUAAGAAGAAUGAAAAAAUAUCAAUUUUCAUUAGGUGUUUUGGGGCAUUCCGAGAAUCGAACUCGGGACCUCUCGCACCCAAAGCGAGAAUCAUACCACUAGACCAAAUGCCCAGAUGCUAAAUUCAGACAAUAAUGUUAAGAGGAUUAGACUUUCAUCAUUUAAAAAUUAUGUGGUCUUUGGAGCUUAACAUUGCCAAUACAUUUGAGGCAGAUCUAAGAAGAAUAAAAGAAUAUAUAUUUUCAGAAGUUGGGGCAUUCCGAGAAUCGAACUCGGGACCUCUCGCACCCAAAGCGAGAAUCAUACCACUAGACCAAAUGCCCAGAUGCUGAAUUCAGACCAUUAUGUAAAGAAGAAUGAUCUCGAGAAGCUUAGACUUUAGUCAUUUAAAAGUUCUAUGUGGUAUUUGGAGCUUAACAUUGCCAAUACAUUUAAGACAGGUCCAAUACAGAUUGUCAUCAAGAUGGCGUAAAUAUUCUAAAUCACAACAUGAACCUCAUUAUAAGAAGAAAUAUAUAUAUAUAUAUAUAUAUCAAUUUUCAUAAAAUAAAGGGGCAUUCCGAGAAUCGAACUCGGGACCUCUCGCACCCAAAGCGAGAAUCAUACCACUAGACCAAAUGCCCAGAUGUUAAAUUCAGACUAUAAUGUAAAGAAGCUUAGACCACAGUCAUUUACAAGUUCCAUGUGGUCUUUGGAGCUUAACAUUGCCAAUACAUUUGAGGCAGGAGAACUAGCAUGAGACUCGAGAACCAUGGCUCCCCGCUUAAAUUCAAGGUAAAAUGGAUUAUUGUUUUCUCCUUAGAAUGCGGGAUUUUGUGUGCAUGUUUGAAUAUGAACAUAUUUAGAGUUUGUGUUUGGCUGCAUUUGAAUUGUCUAAAGAUUGCAGGGACCUGAAGCAAGUAUCAUACCACUAAGACUAAAUGCUCAUGUGAGAACUUGAGCUAAUAGUGUUCUCAAGAGACUUACAAAUUAGUCAUUCAUUUAAAGGUCUGUAUGGUCUUUGUUUGCAUUUCAAGAAGUCAUUUUUAGGUCUCUGAUGUGUAGCUUCGAGUUACAGAAUUGUAUAAAACUUGCAUUAUUGGUAAUACAGGUUCUCAUCUAAUCGUCAAU
Molecule: RNA transcript, 1607 nt
Organism: Impatiens glandulifera
Lineage: Eukaryota; Viridiplantae; Streptophyta; Magnoliopsida; Ericales; Balsaminaceae
Exons: 6
Source: RefSeq, a predicted model, not a curated record